GAUGAACGCUAGCGGCAGGCUUAAUACAUGCAAGUCGAGGGGCAGCAGGUCCCGCAGCAAUGCGGGAUGCUGGCGACCGGCAAACGGGUGCGGAACACGUACGCAACCUACCCAUAACUGGAGGACAGCCCGGGGAAACCCGGAUUAAUACUCCGUAACAUAUUGAGAAGGCAUCUUCUUACUAUUAUAGUCUUCGGGCGGUUAUGGAUGGGCGUGCGCCUGANAGGUAGGUUGGCGGGGUAACGGCCCACCAAGCCUACGAUCAGUAACUGGUGUGAGAGCACGACCAGUCACACGGGCACUGAGACACGGGCCCGACUCCUACGGGAGG
RNAcentral lists this ribosomal RNA (331 nucleotides) under uncultured bacterium. RNAcentral's name for it is "bacterial SSU rRNA". It matches the Rfam family "Bacterial small subunit ribosomal RNA", at positions 28 to 348 of the family's 1533-position model. The record is from RNAcentral.